UUUUUUUCUUUUCUAAGUUUUGUCGUUGCCAAUGGUUGAUGACUGUGGUUAGACUUGGUGCCGUUGUUGUGCUGUUGAUGAGCUUGAUGCUGGUCCCUUUGUUCAUUUAACGUGUAUCUAAAACUAUGAAUGCAAUUUAGAAGCCAUGAACACCUCUUGUGUUUAGUAAUCCGUAUACGUAAUCAUCUCACCUCUUGUGUAUAUGUAAUCUGUAUAGUUAAUGAACUAAAGGUUGUACUUUUGGUCCAUGUUUAUGUGUGUAAUCUGCGUCUGAGAACUCUUAGGAAUGUAAAGUAUAGGAUUCGAGUUUGUGCAAUGUGUUGUCUUGGCUUGAAAGUUUGAUGCUUGCUUGGAUGUUGGUUUCCUCUGUUUGACAUGAAACCAGAAACUGAUGGAAAGUUUUUUGAAUAAACCUGGAAUUUGCAAGCUUUUCCUCAUUCUAGAUUUUCCUUUCUCU
This 457-nucleotide long non-coding RNA is filed under the name Coffea arabica (coffee). RNAcentral describes it as "long non-coding RNA (CARA_LNC002241)". The record is from RNAcentral. Lineage: Eukaryota; Viridiplantae; Streptophyta; Magnoliopsida; Gentianales; Rubiaceae.